This 1764-nucleotide long non-coding RNA is filed under the name Sinocyclocheilus grahami. Its description in RNAcentral is "lncRNA (ENSSGRG00000005185.1)". The record is from RNAcentral. Lineage: Eukaryota; Metazoa; Chordata; Actinopteri; Cypriniformes; Cyprinidae.
GUUUGAUAUAUGACUACCUUUAUUAUAAAUAGGUACUCAGACACUAUUACGAACAUCACAAGAUUGUUCUUCUUUUCUUGACAGUUAAAUACAAAAUUUCACUCAUAUAUCGCUCAUGCAUGUCUUUGGAUGCUCGUGGUGUGAUUAUAAAGGCUCUUUGCAGUAAUGACGCGCUCCAGGUCCGUAUUGUGAGCGUGUCGACGCUGAAGGGCCCUGCAUUAAUUAUGCAUCGCAUUUACAUAAUCUCUUUUGAUCCAGGGCUCUCCUCAGUGUGUGACCCCUCAUCUCAUCACAUCACAUCACAUCACAUCUCUCCUCAUCUCAUCUCAUCACAUCACAUCUCUCCUCAUCUCAUCUCAUCACAUCACAUCACAUCACAUCACAUCUCUCCUCAUCACAUCACAUCUCUCCUCAUCUCACCUCAUCACAUCACAUCUCUCCUCAUCUCAUCUCAUCACAUCACAUCACAUCUCUCCUCAUCUCUCCUCAUCACAUCACAUCACAUCUCUCCUCAUCUCAUCACAUCACAUCACAUCUCUCCUCAUCUCAUCACAUCACAUCUCUCCUCAUCACAUCACAUCACUCCUAAUCUCAUCUCAUCUCAUCACAUCACAUCUCUCCUCAUCUCAUCACAUCACACCUAAUCUCAUCUCAUCUCAUCACAUCACAUCUCUCCUCAUCUCAUCACAUCAUAUCACAUCACAUCUCUCCUCAUCUCAUCUCAUCACAUCACAUCUCUCCUCAUCUCAUCUCAUCAUAUCACAUCACAUCUCUCCUCAUCUCAUCUCAUCUCAUCACAUCUCCCCUCAUCUCAUCUCAUCACAUCACAUCACAUCACAUCUCUCCUCAUCUCAUCUCAUCUCAUCUCAUCACAUCACAUCUCUCCUCAUCUCAUCUCAUCUCAUCUCAUCACAUCACAUCUCUCCUCAUCUCAUCUCAUCUCAUCUCAUCACAUCACAUCUCUCCUCAUCUCAUCUCAUCUCAUCUCAUCACAUCACAUCUCUCCUCAUCUCAUCUCAUCUCAUCUCAUCACAUCACAUCUCUCCUCAUCUCAUCUCAUCUCAUCACAUCACAUCUCUCCUCAUCUCAUCUCAUUUAAUCACAUCACAUCUCAUCACAUCUCUCCUAAUCACAUCACAUCUCAUCUCAUCUCAUCACAUCACAUGUCUCGUCUCGUCUCAUCACAUCACAUCACAUCUCUCCUCAUCUCAUCUCAUCUCAUCUCAUCACAUCACAUCUCUCCUCAUCUCAUCACAUCACAUCACAUCUCAUCUCAUCACAUCACAUCACAUCUCUCCUAAUCUCAUCACAUCACAUCACAUCACAUCACAUCACAUCACAUCACAUCUCAUCUCAUCACAUCACAUCUCUCCUAAUCUCAUCACAUCUCAUCUCAUCACAUCACAUCACAUCACAUCACAUCACAUCACAUCACAUCACAUCACAUGUCUCGUCUCGUCUCAGACGAGUCGAUCGAACCGUCAGCGCGUCACACAAAUGCAGACAAGUAACCUUCAUCUCUGCUGGCUUUGAAAAGGAAAAGAGUUGGAGAAAAAAACUCUAGUCAGCCAUCUAUGUAGGCAGCAUGUUAAGGUGCGGUGCUUAAUUAUUCUGAGAUUGUUUUGAAAGAAGUCUCUUCUGCUCACCAGAGCUGCUUUUAUAUGGUCAAAAAUAUUGUGAAAAUUGUGAAAUAUUAUUACAAAUUAAAACAGCUGUUUUCUAUGUGAAUCUAUGUUAAACUGUAAUGUAUUUCUGUGAUGCGCA